CCUACGGGUGGCAGCAGUGGGGAAUAUUGCACAAUGGUCGAAACCCUGAUGCAGCGACGCCGCGUGAGUGAAGAAGGCUUUCGGUAUGUAAAGCUCUAUCAGCAGGGAAGAAAAUGACGGUACCUGACUCAGUAUCCACUGCUAACUACGUGCCAGCAGCCGCCGGAAUACGUCGGGGGCAAGGGUGAUCCGGAUUUACUGGGGGUAAAGGGAGAUUAGACGGCAGCACGAGUCUGGAGUCAAAUGCCUGGGCGUAACCCCGGAACUGCUAUGGAAACUGUGAAGCUAGAGUGCAAGAGAGGUAAGUGGAAUUCCUAGUGUAGCGGUGAAAUGCGGAGAUAUUAGGAGGAACACCAGUGGCGAAGGCGGCUUACUGGAUUGUAACUGACGUUGAGGCUCGAAAGCGUGGGGAGCAAACAGGAUUAGAUACCCGAGUAGUC
This 440-nucleotide ribosomal RNA is filed under the name uncultured bacterium. Its description in RNAcentral is "partial 16S ribosomal RNA". It matches the Rfam family "Bacterial small subunit ribosomal RNA", at positions 338 to 795 of the family's 1533-position model. The record is from RNAcentral.